UAGGGAAUCUUCCACAAUGGACGCAAGUCUGAUGGAGCAACGCCGCGUGAGUGAAGAAGGGUUUCGGCUCGUAAAGCUCUGUUGUUAAAGAAGAACGUGGGUAAGAGUAACUGUUUACCCAGUGACGGUAUUUAACCUGAAAGCCACGGCUAACUACGUGCCAG
RNAcentral lists this ribosomal RNA (164 nucleotides) under uncultured bacterium. RNAcentral describes it as "partial 16S rRNA". It matches the Rfam family "Bacterial small subunit ribosomal RNA", at positions 355 to 511 of the family's 1533-position model. The record is from RNAcentral.